CUACGGGGCGCUCCAGUGAGGAAUAUUGCACAAUGGGGGGAACCCUGAUGCAGCAACGCCGCGUGGAGGAUGACGCAUUUCGGUGUGUAAACUCCUUUUAUAUGUCAAGAAAAUGACGGUAGCAUAUGAAUAAGCACCGGCUAACUCCGUGCCAGCAGCCGCGGUAUACGGGAGGGUGCAAGCGUUACUCGGAAUCACUGGGCGUAAAGGACGCGUAGGCGGGUUGGAAAGUCAGGUGUGAAAUCCUACAGCUUAACUGUAGAACUGCACUUGAAACUUCUAAUCUAGAGUAUGGGAGGGGGAGAUGGAAUUAGUGGUGUAGGGGUAAAAUCCGUAGAUAUCACUAGGAAUACCUAAAGCGAAGGCGAUCUCCUGGAACAUUACUGACGCUAAGGCGUGAAAGCGUGGGGAGCAAACAGGAUUAGAUACCCCUGUAGUC
This 439-nucleotide ribosomal RNA is filed under the name uncultured bacterium. RNAcentral describes it as "partial 16S ribosomal RNA". It matches the Rfam family "Bacterial small subunit ribosomal RNA", at positions 339 to 795 of the family's 1533-position model. The record is from RNAcentral.